GACGAACGCUGGCGGCGUGCUUAACACAUGCAAGUCGAACGGAAAGGCCCCCUUGUGGGGUACUCGAGUGGCGAACGGGUGAGUAACACGUGAGUAACCUACCCUUGACUUUGGGAUAACUUCAGGAAACUGGGGCUAAUACCGGAUAGGAGCUCCUGCUGCAUGGUGGGGGUUGGAAAGUUUCGGCGGUUGGGGAUGGACUCGCGGCUUAUCAGCUUGUUGGUGGGGUAGUGGCUCACCAAGGCUUUGACGGGUAGCCGGCCUGAGAGGGUGACCGGCCACAUUGGGACUGAGAUACGGCCCAGACUCCUACGGGAGGCAGCAGUGGGGAAUAUUGCACAAUGGGCGGAAGCCUGAUGCAGCAACGCCGCGUGCGGGAUGACGGCCUUCGGGUUGUAAACCGCCUUCGCCUGUGACGAAGCGUGAGUGACGGUAAUGGGUAAAGAAGCACCGGCUAACUACGUG
This 465-nucleotide ribosomal RNA is filed under the name uncultured bacterium. RNAcentral describes it as "partial 16S ribosomal RNA". It matches the Rfam family "Bacterial small subunit ribosomal RNA", at positions 28 to 507 of the family's 1533-position model. The record is from RNAcentral.